This 770-nucleotide ribosomal RNA is filed under the name Natrinema sp. 1APR25-10V2. Its description in RNAcentral is "partial 23S ribosomal RNA". It matches the Rfam family "Archaeal large subunit ribosomal RNA", at positions 882 to 1668 of the family's 2987-position model. Lineage: Archaea; Methanobacteriati; Methanobacteriota; Halobacteria; Halobacteriales; Natrialbaceae. The record is from RNAcentral.
GUGACCUUUGUGUAGGGGUGAAAGGCCCAUCGAGUCCGGAAACAGCUGGUUCCAACCGAAACAUGUCGAAGCAUGACCUCUGCCGAGGUAGUUCGUGGGGUAGAGCGACGGAUUGGGGGACCGCACUCCGAGAGGAGUGCGCCCCCCUGUCCAACUCCGAACCUACGAACGCCGUUCGACGCAGGGAGUCCGGUGCGCGGGGUAAGCCUGUGUACCGUGAGGGAGACAACCCAGAGCUGGGUUAAGGUCCCCAAGUGUGGAUUAAGUGCGAUCGAAGGUGGUCUCAAGCCCUAGACAGCCGGGAGGUGAGCUUAGAAGCAGCUACCCUCUAAGAAAAGCGUAACAGCUUACCGGCCGAGGUUUGAGGCGCCCAAAAUGAUCGGGGCUCAAAUCCACCACCGAGACCUAGCGGCGUGUGUCACAACACGAUCCCGUAGGUUGGCGUUCUGUUCGGGCGGAAGCACGGCUGAGAAGUCGUGUGGACCGUUCAGUAACGAAAAUCCUGGUCAUAGUAGCAGCGUUAGUCGGGUUAGAACCCCGACGGCCGAACGAGUAAGGGUUCCUCAGCAAUGCUGAUCAGCUGAGGGUUAGCCGGUCCUAAGUCAGCCCGUAAGUCGAAGCUGACAACAGGGAAAUAGGUUAAUAUUCCUAUGCCAGUGUGCACUCAAAGCCGACGCUUUGGGGCCGCCUCUGCCGGGCUAUCGCCCGGUCGAACAGUCGAAAUUCGUGGAAGCCGUAAUGGCACGAAGCGAACGAAUGGCUGGAUAGCG